UGGGGGAUAUUGCACAAUGGGGGAAACCCUGAUGCAGCGACGCCGCGUGAGUGAAGAAGUAUUUCGGUAUGUAAAGCUCUAUCAGCAGGAAAGAUAAUGACGGUACCUGACUAAGAAGCACCGGCUAAAUACGUGCCAGCAGCCGCGGUAAUACGUAUGGUGCAAGCGUUAUCCGGAUUUACUGGGUGUAAAGGGAGCGCAGACGGCAUGGCAAGCCAGAUGUGAAAGGUGGGGGCUCAACCCCCAAGCUGCAUUUGGAACUGUCAAGCUAGAGUAUCGGAGAGGUAAGUGGAAUUCCUAGUGUAGCGGUGAAAUGCGUAGAUAUUAGGAGGAACACCAGUGGCGAAGGCGGCUUACUGGACGAUAACUGACGUUGAGGCUCGAAAGCGUGGGGAGCAAACAGGA
Molecule: ribosomal RNA, 405 nt
Filed under: uncultured bacterium
Lineage: Bacteria
Description: bacterial SSU rRNA
Rfam family: Bacterial small subunit ribosomal RNA
Source: RNAcentral